CUGCAAACCAACCAGGACAUCCAUUCCAGAUCAGCUCAGAACUUAACACUUAACGAUAUAUACCAUGGGUAAUGGAUCAUCAAAGCCUCUUAUGACUCAGGACCCAGUACCAAAUUUUAGGAGAAAUGAAAAACUGACAAAGGAUACCCCAAAUGAUAAUGUUCCUUUUGGAAAUGCUGUACAGAAAGACAAAAACUGGAAAGUACUGUCAAAGAAAAACUGCAGAGUGGCGAAGCUAAAUCUUGCAGCAGGCAAUCGCAUCCGUUACUCCAGCCUACCAUCAGCCCUGGAGCCUGAAGAACAGGAACUCAUUUCAGAGCAAAAAUGGGAACUGUGUAACCCUGCCUUUGUGGAGGACAAAAACUCAAAGUAAUGAGCAUACUGACAUCUAGUGGACAACCGCUUAAAAAGGAUAAGAAUUUUUUAUAUCAGCGUUACCUGGGACUUCAAGGGUUUUUUCAUUGCCAGUGCAACAGUCAUGACUUUAGAUGAAUUGCAUUUCUUUAUAGCAUAUCUGUCAUUUGGCAUGUCUUUCCAAUCUUUGUAUCUGAAGAAUUUAUUCUUCAUAUAAGAAGUGUGUAUUGGGACUGAACACUCUCUGCAUACACUGUACUGUAAUAAAAAUAUGAACUUAAAUGAUGCAUUUGCUAACAAAUUGUAUAAGAUUUUUCCAAAUACAAAGUUGUAGUUUGUAUCUUUCUUUGUUUUUAUUUGCAUGGAUCUAUCUUUAGAAUAAACGUCACUUGUUUGAUGUGUUUUCGUA
Molecule: non-coding RNA, 763 nt
Organism: Danio rerio (zebrafish)
Lineage: Eukaryota; Metazoa; Chordata; Actinopteri; Cypriniformes; Danionidae
Source: RefSeq, a predicted model, not a curated record